Molecule: non-coding RNA, 79 nt
Filed under: Pseudodesulfovibrio piezophilus
Lineage: Bacteria; Pseudomonadati; Thermodesulfobacteriota; Desulfovibrionia; Desulfovibrionales; Desulfovibrionaceae
Also listed under: 1 other name
Description: Desulfovibrio piezophilus c-di-GMP sequence
Rfam family: c-di-GMP-I riboswitch aptamer
About the family: GEMM was predicted in a large-scale screen for bacterial structured RNA regulatory elements. Genes associated with GEMM are involved in a diverse array of functions, including chemotaxis regulation, signal transduction, secretion and chitin.
Source: RNAcentral
UUUUUUAUUGGCCAAAUCCAUCGUGAGGUGGAGACGGAAAGCCUACGGGUCUCUUUGUUGAGAUGGCCGGGUUGCCGAU